Molecule: ribosomal RNA, 254 nt
Filed under: uncultured bacterium
Lineage: Bacteria
Description: partial 16S ribosomal RNA
Rfam family: Bacterial small subunit ribosomal RNA
Source: RNAcentral
GCAAGUCGAGCGGAAACGAGAAAUAGCUUGCUAUUUCGGCGUCGAGCGGCGGACGGGUGAGUAAUGCUUGGGAAUAUGCCCUUAGGUGGGGGACAACAGUUGGAAACGACUGCUAAUACCGCAUAAUGUCUACGGACCAAAGGAGGGGAGUCUUCGGAACCUUUCGCCUAUAGAUUAGCCCAAGUGAGAUUAGCUAGAUGGUGAGGUAAUGGCUUACCAUGGCGACGAUCUCUAGCUGGUUUGAGAGGAUGAUC